GGUAUUCCAGGGAUCUGUGCAACAGAGGAAAUAACGCCGGAGCGAAAGGGGGUCAGCUCUUCAGAAGCACCCCCGCUUUUCUAGUGCCGCGGUGCAGAUGUCAGGCCAGACGUUGGAGAGAUCUCCCACUCACACCGCGCCUCCAUCUGUCAGCCUCUCCCAAGUUCUUCAGCUUCUCAUUAUUCCCAGCUAUCCUGGGGUGGCGGCGUUCGGAAGAGAAUUAGCGCGUACGGAAAACCAGCCGGGCCGCCACGUUCCGGCCAGGUCACACGACUCCCUCUGUCCAUUCCAGCGCUGAGGUGACCGGUUCUCCUUGCGGGGCUUUGUCGUCACGCGCUCCCUUGUUGCGAGGCACAGCCCCGGAGUUUUCGGCAAUUUAACAAACCAGUGCAUCUACCGGCGGGAAUCGUCGAGUCUAAAAAUAGAGCGGGAAAGCGCUCUCGCCGGCACUGGGACACCGCGUGCCAGCGGAGGUGCUGCAACCGCGCCUGUCAGCCUUGUCGCUGACAGCUCCUGCUCAAGACUCACAGCUCACUGUACGUGCUGCCUACCCAGAUGUUCACCGAGAAAACAGCUGAUCCUCCGGAUAUUUUUAGACAGCGUUCCCGCGACGGUGGACAGAGAGAGUGCUCCGGCGAACAGGAGCAGGAGUGCGUGACUGCAAUGCUGAGGGGGACCGCGCGUGCAUCCGGGGCCUGGCGAUCACACGAAAAGCAGCCGAUCAUUACGCAGGCUGAGCAGAUGGGGCGCCCCCUGGUGGCCGAUGGACCCUAAGGAGUCACUUAGUUCGCUUGUAUGCCUUGGCUGGCCUCAUCUCCAAAGAGCAGGUGUGGCCAAUCUUACUCGCAGAGGGCCGGUGUGUAUGCAGGUUUGUGGGAUAACCUUUAGGUCAGCUGUUCACACCCAGGUGUGAGGACUCUUCAGCCAAUCAGUCCUCUAAUUAGUAAUCUAAUUAGGGAGUUGCAGCGAAAACACACAUUUACAACAGCCCGUUCUGGAUAAGAUUAACCACCCCUACCACAGAGGCACUAAUACACUACAAUAACAAUUAUAAUAGUAAAUAACAAUACAAUUGAUAAAAAACAAUGACCUAUAUUAGACCAUUAUUAUUAUUAUUACUACUACUAUUACAGAAGUUGCUUGUUAGUGUCUGAUUUUUCAGUGUCUUCCCAUAACUCAUGUGGGCAGUCUGUGGCAGUCUGCGGACCAGAAAGGCAGCUGGUCUGCAAAGGUACUGACUCACAAAGCAGACUGUCCUUAGUCACAAGCAGACGGAGCAGCGCUUACCUAACAUAAAAAAUAUCACCCCGAAUAUCCAAGUAGUAAAAAGAUUCAUUGAGAGACCUGGGGAAGGUGGGGGUUAGGGUUGGGGGCGGAGCAUGUGGAGCAGGAGAGCCCGUUUUAGAUCAGAGAGGUGCCUAAAGACGGACACAUUUGGGAAGAGGCUACAGGAGGCGUGUUUGGCUGCAGACAGCACGCUCACACGACGAGGCCUCGUCUCAACGACAACCAGCUGCUUCCUCCACACUCCUCCUCAUCAUCAUCUCCAAAGGGGUUUCAGCAUCAGACAGACACACUGUACCUGAACUAUUACUGCAGCAUUACGGAGCAGCAAGGGGCAGAUUACAUCAUCAGUGCUUUCCAGAAGUGAGGGCCGCAGGAUGAUUUCCAGAUCGUGCCGUCAGUGAAAUCUACUGAGGGGCACUGGUCUCUGCUACUGUUAUUUUGAGGGUCAUGGACUGAAAAUAUGUCAAUCCAUGGGUUCUAUGACUAAACCCUCUCUGACCCGGCCCGAUUUAACCAUAUAACCAUAAGGGCAUUCGGGCACAUGCCAAGGGGUACCACAUCCUUGUGGGGGGGGGGGGGGGGGAUCACUGAGAAGAGCAACAACAAAUUAAUGCGAUUUAAUAUCUAAUACAUUAAUGAUAGUACAUUGUUCGUCUAAUACGGCACUAUACUGAAAAAGCCCAUGUAAGGUUUUCCCUGUGUUAGACACAUUCUUGAAUUUUGUGAGCCACCAAUCAGCUCCGUUUUCUUCCUGACUUGACGUCACGUGUUCUGUCGCCCCAGGGCACUUAAUCCUCUUAAUCCGACCCUGCCUCCGACUGAUGUUAUUAUCUAAGGGGUGGACAUCAGGCUAUCCCAAACUUUCCAGCAGGUUUUACAGAGUAGACGUGACUCUACCCACAACACAGAUGUCAAUCGUCGUGGGCGGAGAGCAGCGACGGCUUCUGACGGCUGCCUUCGCCUCAUCGAUGCUUUGAUUGAAAUCAAAGUGUUCUUGACGACAGUGUGUUUAGAGGCGCCUCUCUCGCAAGGGAACAACAGCGGCACCCUGUCUGGGAUCUGAGGACCUUCAGAAGGCGUGUUCGGCUUCAAGGCUAGGCGCCUUUAGCCGCUCUGAGACGGCAAAGUGGCAUCUUCUGAACUCCAUCCAGGUCGUUUGUGCCUGGAGACGCCGGAGGUCUCUGAAGAGCGGGUGCGUGACGGAGGGUCGACCAGCCUGCUCUGACUGGGAAGGAUUUGGGAGGCGGAGUCUCCCCUGGGGAGAGGGGGCGGGACUAAAGGAGAGCAGUGGUCCCAGGCAACUGGGCGGCCCACACUGUCCUUCCUCUCCCCCCUCCUGAGGAAAUCAGUAGAGGCAGCUGGGUUGGGGGACGGUGGACACUGGCUGUGGCGAGACACAGGAGAAUAGAACUGGAGGAGGACUGGGGAUGAGCUUGGCUGGUGGUUACCAAAUUACUCGUGGAUACAAAAAAAACAGAAAACAAGAAAAAGUGGCUCCCAGUUCUGGUUGUGUGAGAGGAGAAACAGUGCCAAGGAUUACAAUGGCUGUAUAUCAAAAAGCGCCUCUGGAAACAGGGCUUUGGAUCAAAUGUAUAUUUCUGCGGUCGCACGCAUUAUGGUUGCAUCCAAACCCUUUAGCCUAAAUUAGCGUGUGCCAUCAGCAGGGCCAGGCCAAACGGUCACGAGAAGCUGCUCGCUGGGAGCGGCUCACAGCCAAGUGGCGCCACCCAGGGACACAGAGGCCCAGCGCAGGUGUGAGGCGCACUGAGUGAGCACAGCGUCAGGGUUGGGGUUCCGACCUUCUUCCUAAACUGCCAGCCACCCAACCACCAUCCAAAAAUCCAUUUAAAGUGCCGUGACCCCAAAGCCAUCUGCGAAGAGCGGGAAAGAGCUCAGAGAGAUGAGGGGGGGUUGUGGAGGGGGCAGGGAACAGAGCCGCUUUCAUGAGUCCUCCAUCUUUUUUUUUUUUUUUUUUGGCUGGUCGAAUCCCCGACAGGCCAGAACUCGGCAGGCGAGUCACAGAUGUCUUGGGCAAGGGCAGCGAGGGAACCGACGACUCAGAAGCGUCGCCGUUUUUAAUCUGUAGCUGUUUACUUCCUCCCCCUACACCCGCACAUGGACCCGCGAUGUCCGGAUCUCAAAUGGGCUACACUGCCCCCACUUGGCCAAGACUGGUAUUCAGCUCGAAACAAAUAAUAAAAAUCAUUUUAAAAACAAUAAAAUCAUGUUGGAGGAAGCUUAGCUGGCAUCGGUGAUUUGCCAGCGAAGUAUGACAUUGAGAAAGUGAAGCUGGAGGAGAGCGUGCAGUUCAACGCCGAGAAAAUGCCCCCAGCGACGUGCUACAUUUACACACAGGCGGAGAGGCUGUCAGGAGAUUAGUAUUCAGUUAACAGCUCAAUCAGCCUUAAUGGCCCACAGAGAGCAGAACCACUGCAUGCAAAGCGACAGCAGAUACACUAGCCCACGGCGUUGCGAGAAAAAGCACCUCCUGGCCUUCAACGCCAGCCACCCUGUGGAAAUGGUCCUAUGGACUUGUGUGGAUGGAGAAGGUUGAAGGGAGUCAGAUGUCUGAUGUAGAUCACCAGUCUGCUAAAAAUG
Long non-coding RNA from Brienomyrus brachyistius, 3885 nucleotides. RefSeq lists it as uncharacterized. The record is from RefSeq and is a predicted model, not a curated record. The transcript is spliced from 3 exons. Lineage: Eukaryota; Metazoa; Chordata; Actinopteri; Osteoglossiformes; Mormyridae.